Molecule: long non-coding RNA, 204 nt
Filed under: Elaeis guineensis (African oil palm)
Lineage: Eukaryota; Viridiplantae; Streptophyta; Magnoliopsida; Arecales; Arecaceae
Description: long non-coding RNA (EGUI_LNC017449)
Source: RNAcentral
GAGGCUCGAGGAGAGGGAAAUCGGGGGGACAGGGUUGGUUGCUAGCAAGGAAAAAUGAGAGGGGUGUAGGGGAAAACGAGGGCACGUAAUUAGAUAAAAAUCAUGGGAACUAAGGGGAGAAUUGGGAGAAAAAUUUAGGGUUAUUAGCGAUGGCAUUCUAAUAAGAUAACUUCACCGCUAAUAAUCUUAGAAUCAAAUUAAAAA